Molecule: ribosomal RNA, 253 nt
Filed under: uncultured bacterium
Lineage: Bacteria
Description: partial 16S ribosomal RNA
Rfam family: Bacterial small subunit ribosomal RNA
Source: RNAcentral
UACGAAGGGUGCAAGCGUUACUCGGAAUUACUGGGCGUAAAGCGUGCGUAGGCGGUUUGUUAAGUCUGUCGUGAAAGCCCCGGGCUCAACCUGGGAAUGGCGAUGGAUACUGGCGAGCUAGAGUACGGUAGAGGAGAGUGGAAUUCCCGGUGUAGCAGUGAAAUGCGUAGAGAUCGGGAAGAACAUCAGUGGCGAAGGCGGCCUGCUGGGCUGUUGCUGACGCUGAGGCGCGACAGCGUGGGGAGCAAACAGG